This 72-nucleotide transfer RNA is filed under the name Chthonomonas calidirosea T49. RNAcentral describes it as "tRNA-Thr (TGT) (tRNA-Thr-TGT-1-1)". It matches the Rfam family "tRNA". Rfam says of the family: Transfer RNA (tRNA) molecules are approximately 80 nucleotides in length. Their secondary structure includes four short double-helical elements and three loops (D, anti-codon, and T loops). RNAcentral also lists the same sequence under 1 other name. Lineage: Bacteria; Bacillati; Armatimonadota; Chthonomonadia; Chthonomonadales; Chthonomonadaceae. The record is from Rfam by way of RNAcentral.
GCCUCUGUGGCGCAACGGUAGCGCAACGGUUUUGUAAACCGUCGGUUGUCGGUUCGAAUCCGACCGGAGGCU